AUAAGCUGUGUCGGUUUAAUAAAUUGAAAUUCACUUUUAAGUGARAAGGCUUAAAUAAUUUAAAGGGACGAUAAGACCCUAUAAAACUUUAUAGUAUUUUAUAUGUAUUGAUUUUGAUAGUUUAAUAUGAACUAUAGUAAGAUUGUUUUGUUGGGGCGACACCUAUAUAAAUAUAAAGUAACUGUAGGUUAAAAUAUAAUAAUGAUGGUUAGUGAAAUGAUCCUUUAGUAGUGAUUAUUAGAAAAAGUUACUUUAGGGAUAACAGCGUAAUUUCUUCGGAGAGUUCUUAUUGAUGAAGUUAGUUGCGACCUCGAUGUUGAAUUAAGAUUUCUUUUAAAUGUAGCAGUUUAAAAAGUUGGUCUGUUCGACCAUUAAAAUCUUACAUGAU
RNAcentral lists this ribosomal RNA (388 nucleotides) under Thor sp. UF 44393. RNAcentral's name for it is "partial large subunit ribosomal RNA". Lineage: Eukaryota; Metazoa; Arthropoda; Malacostraca; Decapoda; Hippolytidae. The record is from RNAcentral.